GCCUCGAUGGCGCAGCAGGCAGCGCGUGAGUCUCAUAAUCUCAAGGUCGUGAGUUCGAUCCUCACUCGGGGCA
This 73-nucleotide transfer RNA is filed under the name Penaeus vannamei (Pacific white shrimp). RNAcentral's name for it is "Litopenaeus vannamei (Pacific white shrimp) tRNA". It matches the Rfam family "tRNA". Rfam says of the family: Transfer RNA (tRNA) molecules are approximately 80 nucleotides in length. Their secondary structure includes four short double-helical elements and three loops (D, anti-codon, and T loops). Further hydrogen bonds mediate the characteristic L-shaped molecular structure. tRNAs have two regions of fundamental functional importance: the anti-codon, which is responsible for specific mRNA codon recognition, and the 3' end, to which the tRNAs corresponding amino acid is attached (by aminoacyl-tRNA synthetases). tRNAs cope with the degeneracy of the genetic code in two manners: having more than one tRNA (with a specific anti-codon) for a particular amino acid; and 'wobble' base-pairing, i.e. permitting non-standard base-pairing at the 3rd anti-codon position. The record is from Rfam by way of RNAcentral. Lineage: Eukaryota; Metazoa; Arthropoda; Malacostraca; Decapoda; Penaeidae. RNAcentral also lists the same sequence under 2 other names.